UACGUAGGGUGCGAGCGUUAAUCGGAAUUACUGGGCGUAAAGCGUGCGCAGGCGGUUUUGUAAGCCAGAUGUGAAAUCCCCGGGCUUAACCUGGGAAUGGCAUUUGGGACUGCAAGGCUCGAGUGCGGCAGAGGAGACUGGAAUUCCUGGUGUAGCAGUGAAAUGCGUAGAUAUCAGGAGGAGCACCGAUGGCGAAGGCAGGUCUCUGGGCUGACACUGACGCUCAUGCACGAAAGCGUGGGGAGCAAACAGG
RNAcentral lists this ribosomal RNA (253 nucleotides) under uncultured bacterium. Its description in RNAcentral is "partial 16S ribosomal RNA". It matches the Rfam family "Bacterial small subunit ribosomal RNA", at positions 524 to 776 of the family's 1533-position model. The record is from RNAcentral.